RNAcentral lists this transfer RNA (72 nucleotides) under virus sp. cti5L29. RNAcentral describes it as "tRNA-Gln". It matches the Rfam family "tRNA". Rfam says of the family: Transfer RNA (tRNA) molecules are approximately 80 nucleotides in length. Their secondary structure includes four short double-helical elements and three loops (D, anti-codon, and T loops). The record is from RNAcentral.
UGGGGAAUAGCCAAGUUGGUAAGGCUCACGAUUUUGAUUCGUGUAUCGGAGGUUCAAGUCCUUCUUCCCUAG